This 3270-nucleotide long non-coding RNA is filed under the name Homo sapiens (human). RNAcentral's name for it is "HSALNT0269652". The record is from RNAcentral. Lineage: Eukaryota; Metazoa; Chordata; Mammalia; Primates; Hominidae.
CUGCAAGCUAGUGGGCUAGCAAGAGGGUGGACAGAUCUCUAGGCAGGAAGCUGGGAUUUUCUUCCUGGACUGUUCUCCAAGGUCUCCAUUCUUACAACAGAGGGGAAGAUAUUCUGGGAGGAAAUAAGUGGAUGGCUAGGAAGAAAGAUCCAUUAUGUAGUAAGAACAAAUUCUGCUUUCCUCCUUGGGAGGUUUUGAGACAUUUCUGUUAAGAUGAUUAAUUAAGACUAAAUUCAUUAACAGUGCCAGACAUCGAGGGUUCCUUCAUCCUAUGGACGUGUGUUGAGAGCUUUUGAUGUGUCUGGUGCCAGGAGGGAGUCAGACCUGCAAGGUCUCUGCUUCCCUGGAGCUGGCACAUCGAGUGGGAAGACAGAUAAUGAAGCCAGGAAACAAAUGCACGUGUGACCUGGUGCCAGGGAGAGAGGCAUGACGUGCUAGGAAGAGAGUCACACCAGGGCAUGAGGCCAGUGGGGGCAGGGACAGGCCAGGGGCUGUGGGGCUGUGUUAAACAGGCGGUCAGGGCAGGUCUCUCUGAGGAGGAGACAUGUGGGUGCAGAUCUGGUGUGGAAGAUCAGAAGAAUUUCCCACAGAGCGGGUGGUGUGGAGUAUAGUUCCCGAGGCAGGAGCAGCAUGGGGUGUUUGAAGAAUGCAAAGGGGGCCGGUGCAGCUGGAGGGUUCCAUGGAAAUGAAAUGGGUGCAGAAAUGGAGAAGCAGGCACUAUGCGUCCCCCAGGAGUUCAAUCUAGCAGUUCAUUUGCUGACACCUCAUCCCCAGUGUGAUUGCACUUGGAGGUACAGCCUUGGGAAGUGAGUACCAGAGAGCUGCCUUGCCCCUUCUACCGUGCGUGCACACAGAGAGAAGAUGGCCCUUCAUGAAGAAUCAGGCUCUCAAUAGACACUGAACCUGCCGACACCUUGACCUUGGACUUCCAGCCUCCAGAACCGGAUUUCUCAGCCAAGCAUCAAUGAAUCUUGAAUCUCAGCUGAUGACACUCCUGGGCAAAAUGGCUAUGAAACUGGAAAGAUGUCUAUGAAACACACAGUCCCUCAAGCCAGAAAAUGCACUUGACACAUCUGUGUCCCUUGAGGAACCUGAAGUUUUGGUGAAUCCAGAAAGCCAUGGAUGGCAGAACUGACCACAGAAAAAGAAACAGAGGCUCAGAAAGGUGAAGCCAAUUGCCUGAAGCCACACAGAAUAUCAGCUGGAGUCAGGAUUCUAACACCAUCCCAUGUAGCUGAUGCUAUCUACUGCCAGCCUGGAGCCAGGCUAAGAGGAAGAGAAAGAAGAAAAUGCCUGCAGAAACAUUCUAUGUAAAGAACACUUUGGGAUCAGAAAAAGAAGCGCGCCCGUGUUUCACUUGCAGCCUCACCCUGCACUAGGUAACCCUCCUUCCUCCACUGCACAAUCACUUAGAAACUGUAACUCUUCUUGGGCCCAGGUGCACAGGUAAAUUCGGAUCUUUCCCAAGGCCCUGCAUGCUACCGUGAUUUUUAGGAACCCUAUGUCACCUCACAGAUCUGAGCAUAUAUGAGUUGGGCUCGUCACCCGGCCUUCUGGGAGUCUCAGUUUCCCUAUUUGUAAAAUGGACAUAGUAAACCCAUCUCCAUCUCACAGAGGAUAGUAAAAAGAGCCCUGGCCUUGGAGUCUGGGGGCUGGGCCACAGGUCAGGCUUCAAGACCCCCUGGGCCACGUUGGGGACUUGGGUUCCUGAGAUCCAAUCUCUGAGCAUCAGCUUCACUGUCUGUCGCAGAAGCACCAUUUCCCCACCUUGUCCACCUCACAGAACAGCCAGGUGGCUUAGAGGUGAGCUCUCAAAUGUCAACAGGCUUUGCAAACUCCAGUGGUCAGCAUUAUGUGAGUAGUUCAGUCUUUCCACAGGGAUCUCUGGGGCCUCGGGUCACAGCAGACCAGAACUUGACCUGGAGGCUGGUGUCCCCCAAACUGCUGUAUGGACCCUGCAACAGCUGGGGAGUCCUCGUCUCAACAGCCCUGCUGUCUCCCACUGAGGUCAUCUGCUGGCCCUCCUGGUGGCCCUGUGAGGAAGCCAGGAGUCACUGAUGCUGCUCUAUCGACGGCGACAGAUGGAUCACAGCUGAUAAGUGACUUGCCCAGAGUUUUGCAGCUUGGAACUCACAGAGCAGAAGCUGGGAAUCAGGUGGGGAAGCACCCAGCUCUCUGCUUCUCCUAAGCCAAGCUCUGCAGCGAGGUCCUGCUUCCCUCGGGACUCCUCUUUCAGCAUGACAUGAACUCAUUUUGAAUGUAAAGGCAAUGUCAAAGCCCUACAGCUAUUUAUACCAGAGCAUGUGUUUAUUAGCUCACUCUCCAGGGGGAAUAUUGCUGUUGUGAAUACACAACUACUCAUAACUACCGUCUUAAAAAUCUUCUCUACCCCAAAAUAUUUACUAAUGUAUUUAAGUAUUUAUUUUCUUGUAGUGAAAGGAAAUCAAGAUAAUUCUAAAAUUGUGGAAGAAAACAAAAAAAGUAUAAAGGAGAAAACAGAAGCUUCACAUAUUCUAACCAUUAUUAAUCUCAAAAUAUUUUAUUCCAGGUCCUUGUCUAUGGUCCAGGUCCUUGUCUAUGGUCCUAUAGCCUAUGCUGAGUGACACUGUGCUAUGUGUAUGCCAUUUGCACUCACCGUGGGGUCAUAAGCGUGCCAUUUCCUUUUUAUUAAAAAAAUACUUUGCAUACAUGAAAGUAUGUUUGCAUUAAAACUAUGCAAACAUCAGUUUUAAUAACUGUAUAAAUAUUCCAUCACAAGGACAUUCCAUAAUUUAUUUAAUCACUUUGGUAGUGUUGGACAUUUAAUUUUUUAAAAAGUCAAAUAAUGCCAGGAUUAAUGCCUGUUUAUAUGAACCAGUUUUCAUUUCCUGAUUAUUUUCUUCGGCCAGAUCCCCAAAAGUGGAAUUACUGAUAAAAGUAGGUGAGUGUUUUUAACACAUUUCUUCUUAUACACACACACACACACACACACACACACACACACCCAUCAACAAAUAGUUUUUCCUGGAAGGAACUUCCAGUAGUGUAUGAGAAAGCCUAUUGCACCACACCAUCCCCAGCAAUGAGAAUUACUACUGUAAAAAAAUCUUUGUUACAUUAAAUUUUUGGAGGACAUCUCAUUUUCUUGAUUGCAUUUGAUUAACUCAAAAUGUAUUUCUACAGGGUGGGGAACAUCACACACUGGGGCCUGUCGUGGGGUGGGGGGAUGGGGGAGGGAUAGCAUUAGGAGAAAUACCUAAUGUAAAUGACGAGUUAAUGGGUGCAGCAAAC